GGAAGGGGCGCUUUUAUUAGAUCAAAACUAUUCGCCCGGUUCCACCGGGCGUUGUAGUGAUGACUCUAGAUAACACUUCAGAUCGUAUGGUCACCGUACCGGCGACUUAUCUUUCAAAUGCCUGACUUAUCAACUGUCGAUGGUAGACUCUGUGUCUACCAUGGCUCUUACGGGUAACGGGGAAUCAGGGUUCGAUUCCGGAGAGGGAGCCUGAGAAACGGCUACCACAUCCAAGGAAGGCAGCAGGCACGCAAAUUACCCACUCCCGGCACGGGGAGGUAGUGACAAAAAAUAACGAUACGGGACUCUUAUGAGGCCUCGUAAUCGGAAUGAGUACACUUUAAAUCCUUUAACAAGGAUCCAUUGGAGGGCAAGUCUGGUGCCAGCAGCCGCGGUAAUUCCAGCUCCAAUAGCGUAUAUUAAAGUUGUUGCGGUUAAAAAGCUCGUAGUUGGUUUUGCGUGCCACGCUGUCGGUACACCGUUUGUCGGUGCAACUGGCAUGCCGUGGCAUGUCCUGUCGGUGGUGACCGGAGGCCUGGCGUGCCGAAGCUUCUGCCCAAGGCUGCCGUGGGUUUUUCGGUCGCCGACUAUAUCCUACCGCGGUGCUCUUAACUGAGUGUCGAGGUAGGCCGACACGUUUACUUUGAACAAAUUAGAGUGCUUAAAGCAGGCUAAAAUCUCUGCCUGAAUAGUGGUGCAUGGAAUGAUGGAACAGGACCUUGGUUCUAUUUUGUUGGGUUUUCGGAACACAAGGUAAUGAUCAAUAUGGACAGGCGGGGGCAUUCGUAUUGCGACUCCGAUGACUCGGCGGGGAGCUUUCCCCGGGAAACCAAAGCUUUUGGGUUCCGGGGGAAGUAUGGUUGCAAAGCUGAAACUUAAAGGAAUUGACGGAAGGGCACCACCAGGAGUGGAGCCUGCGGCUUAAUUUGACUCAACACGGGAAACCUCACCAGGUCAGGACAUUGGAAGGAUUGACAGAUUGAUAGCUCUUUCUUGAUUCAGUGGGUAGUGGUGCAUGGCCGUUCUUAGUUGGUGGAUCGAUUUGUCUGGUUAAUUCCGAUAACGAACGAGACUCUAGCCUAUUAACUAGACGAUUCUGAUAUCGUAGCUACCAGCGAAAUAUAUUCUUCUUAAGGGGACAGGCGGCUUAUAGCCGCACGAGAUUGAGCAAUAACAGGUCUGUGAUGCCCUUAGAUGUCCUGGGCCGCACGCGCGCUACACUGAAGGAAUCAGCGUGUGCGUUCCCUUGGCCGAAAGGUCCGGGUAACCCGCUGAACCUCCUUCGUGCUAGGAAUUGGGGCUUGCAAUUGUUCCCCAUGAACGAGGAAUUCCCAGUAAGCGCGAGUCAUAAGCUCGCGUUGAUUACGUCCCUGCCCUUUGUACACACCGCCCGUCGCUACUACCGAUUGAAUGAUUUAGUGAGGUCUUCGGACCGGCGGUAAGCCUUACCGACCUGUCGGUUUUGAUGAACGCUGGGAAAGGAUG
RNAcentral lists this ribosomal RNA (1485 nucleotides) under Prostemma hilgendorfii. RNAcentral describes it as "SSU rRNA". It matches the Rfam family "Eukaryotic small subunit ribosomal RNA", at positions 194 to 1758 of the family's 1831-position model. The record is from RNAcentral. RNAcentral also lists the same sequence under 1 other name. Lineage: Eukaryota; Metazoa; Arthropoda; Insecta; Hemiptera; Nabidae.